UUUCCGGUAGCAGUGACGCAAGCACGCAAAGGAAAAAAGAAGUGCUUUCGUAUUCGCUUUAGUUGACGUAGGCGCUGAAACUCUCCGAAUUCAGAUGGAUUGCGCGACUACCAGUACUUGACUCAUCGUAAAGUCGUUAAACUGAUCGCGUUAAACCAGAAUACUAAUAACAGCACGUGAUGGCGUGGUAAUGAACCCGUUUAGGGCAGCCACCUCCGAUAUGCCAUGGCUGUUUACUUUUGAGUGACGGGUUCUCUCGAGUGGCAAACAAAAGUCUAACUUAUCGAGAACUCCAGGAAGCAGUAACAGACAACGACCGUUGAGUUCUGCAAUCUCGAGGAGUUUCUAAUUUUUGCCCCUCUACCAGAGAACUACGCCACCGACCUGAAGGGAGCACACUCAAGAUAAAAAGAAACAGUACUGCUGGAUGAAACUUCAACUUAGAAGCUGUUUCCAGGCACAGUGAGAAUAAAGCUUAUUUCAAAAUGUGC
This is a long non-coding RNA of Rhipicephalus microplus (southern cattle tick), 491 nucleotides long. Lineage: Eukaryota; Metazoa; Arthropoda; Arachnida; Ixodida; Ixodidae. The record is from RefSeq and is a predicted model, not a curated record.